GCAAGAUACCACGGGCGCACGGCGGAUGCCUUGGCACAGGGAGCCGAUGAAGGACGCGGCAAGCUGCGAUAAUCCCCGGCGAGGAGCACACAUCCUUCGACCCGGGGGUCUCCGAAUGGGCGAACCCAUCCACAGCAGUGUGGAUAUCCCGACCCUGAACGCAUAGGGGCCGGGAGGACAACCCGGGGAACUGAAACAUCUAAGUACCCGGAGGAGAGGAAAUCAAUCUCGAGACUCCCCGAGUAGCGGCGAGCGAAAGGGGACCGAUGGCCAAACCGUCGAGCGGGCGUACCCGGCAGGGGUUCCGCCGACGGGGUUGCAGGGCCGCGCAUCCGGGGGCUGCCGCCCCCGGGCGCAGGUCCGGCUGGGGAGCGGAACGGCAUGGGAGGGCCGGCCGCAGCGGGUGACAGCCCCGUACGCGAACCCAGACCGGACGGCGCGACGCGGUCCCUGAGUAGGGCCGGGCACGUGAAACCCGGUCCGAACCUGGGUGGACCACCAUCCAAGCCUGAGUACUACCCUGUGACCGAUAGCGCACCAGUACCGUGAGGGAAAGGUGAAAAGCACCCCGGGAGGGGAGUGAAACAGUACCUGAAACCGUGCGCCCACGAGCAGUCGGAGCACCUAUAUGGUGUGACGGCGUGCCUUUUGUAGAAUGAGCCAGCGAGUCGCUGGCGCGGGGCGAGGUUAACCGAAAGGGAGCCGUAGCGAAAGCGAGCCUUAACAGGGCGACUUGAGUCCCGCGCCGCGGACGCGAAGCCGGGUGAGCUAUCCGUGGGCAGGCUGAAGCGGGGGUAAGACCCCGUGGAGGGCCGAACGCACGUCGGUUGAAAACGGCGGCGAUGACCUGCGGAUAGGGGUGAAAGGCCAAUCAAACCCGGAGAUAUCUCGUUCUCCCCGAAAUAGCUUUAGGGCUAGCGUCGCGCGUUCACCGCCGGAGGUAGAGCACCGGAUGGACGAGGGGGCUUCGCCGCCUACCGAAUCCAACCGAACUCCGAAUGCCGGCGGCCCAGAGCGCGGCAGUCAGAGCAUGUGGGCUAAGCUGUGUGCUCGAGAGGGAAACAGCCCGGACCGCCCGCUAAGGUCCCCAAGUUCCAGCCGAGUGGCAAAGGAUGUGCGUCCGCCCAGACAACCAGGAUGUUGGCUUAGAAGCAGCCAUCCAUUCAAAGAGUGCGUAACAGCUCACUGGUCGAGUGGACAUGCGCCGACAAUACACGGGGCUAAGCUGGACACCGAAGCGGCGGGAUUUUAUCUAUAUAGAAUCGGUAGGGGAGCUUCCCAUGGGCGGGGAAGCCGCCGGGCGACCGGCGGUGGAGCGCAUGGGAGUGAGAAUGCUGGCAUGAGUAGCGAGAGACGAGAGAGUAACUCGUCCGCCGUGAACCCGAGGUUUCCUGGGCAAGGCUAAUCCUCCCAGGGUCAGUCGGGGGCUAAGGCGAGGCCGGGAGGCGUAGCCGACGCGCAGCAGGCAGACAUUCCUGCACCGCGCACGCGGCGCUACGACCGACGGGGCGACGGAUGGGGGUGGCUCGGCGGGGUUCUGGACGUCCCCGUGAUGGAGCGCGGCCCGCGGACCAGGGAAAUCCGGUCCGCAUGAAGGGCGAGGCUCCGGACGAAGCGACUGAGCGAAGCGAGUGAGCCCGAGGUCCCUAGAAAAACCCCUAGGCAGGCGCGUGCGCGCCCGUACCGCAAACCGACACAGGUGGGUGGGUAGAACAUACCGAGGCGAUCGGGUCAACCAUGGUCAAGGAACUCGGCACAAUGGCCCCGUAACUUCGGGAGAAGGGGUGCCCGCGCGUACGUGAACGGACUUGCUCCGGGAGCGGAGGCGGGCCGCAGUGGAGAGGCCCAAGCGACUGUUUACCAAAAACACAGGACUCUGCAGAAGCCGCAAGGCGACGUAUAGGGUCUGACGCCUGCCCGGUGCCGGAAGGUCACGCGGAGGAGUUAGCCGUUAAGGCGAAGCCCCGAAGCCAAGCCCCGGUAAACGGCGGCCGUAACUAUAACGGUCCUAAGGUAGCGAAAUUCCUUGUCGGGUAAGUUCCGACCUGC
RNAcentral lists this ribosomal RNA (2049 nucleotides) under human gut metagenome. Its description in RNAcentral is "bacterial LSU rRNA". It matches the Rfam family "Bacterial large subunit ribosomal RNA", at positions 1 to 1991 of the family's 2925-position model. The record is from RNAcentral.